Molecule: ribosomal RNA, 483 nt
Filed under: uncultured bacterium
Lineage: Bacteria
Description: bacterial SSU rRNA
Rfam family: Bacterial small subunit ribosomal RNA
Source: RNAcentral
AACUAACGCUGGCGGCGUGCCUAACACAUGCAAGUCGUACGAGAAAGUUGGCUUCGGCCGAUGAGUACAGUGGCGCACGGGUGAGUAACGCGUGGAUAAUCUGCCCUUAAGUGUGGAAUAACGUACCGAAAGGUGCGCUAAUACCGCAUAAUGCCUGGCAACAUAAGUUGUCCGGCCAAAGAAGGCCUCUGCUUGCAAGCUUUCGCUAAGGGAUGAGUCCGCGUACCAUUAGCUAGUUGGUGGGGUAACGGCCUACCAAGGCGACGAUGGUUAGCUGGUCUGAGAGGAUGAUCAGCCACACUGGAACUGAGACACGGUCCAGACUCCUACGGGAGGCAGCAGUGAGGAAUAUUGCGCAAUGGGGGCAACCCUGACGCAGCAACGCCGCGUGAGUGAGGAAGGUUUUCGGACUGUAAAGCUCUGUCGAGCGGGAAGAAGUGUACCAUGGCUAAUAUCCAUGAUAUUUGACGGUACCGCUAGAGG